RNAcentral lists this ribosomal RNA (253 nucleotides) under uncultured bacterium. RNAcentral's name for it is "partial 16S ribosomal RNA". It matches the Rfam family "Bacterial small subunit ribosomal RNA", at positions 524 to 776 of the family's 1533-position model. The record is from RNAcentral.
UACGUAGGGCGCAAGCGUUGUCCGGAAUUAUUGGGCGUAAAGAGCUCGUAGGUGGUUUGUUACGUCUGCUGUGAAAACCUAGGGCUUAACCCUGGGCCUGCAGUGGAUACGGGCAGACUAGAGGUAGGUAGGGGAGAAUGGAAUUCCCGGUGUAGCGGUGAAAUGCGCAGAUAUCGGGAGGAACACCGGUGGCGAAGGCAGGUCUCUGGGACACUACUGACGCUGAGAAGCGAAAGCAUGGGGAGCGAACAGG